GUUGUUCCAGUUCAAUGCAUCAUUUCCUCAUCUCCGUGGACAGAACGUGUAUUGAUCGUAAAAAAAAAUGUUCCUUUGUCUUUCUCAUGUGCUACAGAUCAAUAGAAGCAAUUUCUUUAGUGGCAGACUUGUAUAAAUAAGGCUUUGGUCUUUAAAUUGGUAUUACUUUCAAAAAGCAAUUUUUAAAAAAAAAUCCAACUUGAAGGUCUUGCUUCACUUGUAUUGCAUGAACUAUAAGGCAUUGUGAUAUCAAAGUCCAGUAGGGCAGAAAGAAACUGCCAGUUGUCUCAAGUUCAGCAGCACAUUCUUCCCAAGCACACACAGGCAACCAGACACACUGCUACAAAGAAUGGUAGUGAGUGAUUGCCAGGAUUUCAAGAAGGGGCUCCCAUAAAAAUGUGCUGUGUCAGCCAUUAAUACAAGUGACAUUCCCUAAGCAAAAACCACUCCUCCUCCUGCCACCAUAAAAGGCACCAAUUACAUAUGCCUCACUGCUCAGAAUAUUGAUAAAUCUCUUGCUGCUUAUUCCCUUCUCACCUCUCCCCCACACAUCUUUCAUCAAUCCUUGCACCACGAGAAUGGUUCUCUCUCUCUCACACACUUGCACACACACAUGCUCAGUUUUUACUGAUUUUUUUUUUUUUUAAAUUCGGUUUCCAUAUCACCCGAGUCCCACUCCUGAUCUCUAGUUAUGGGUUACUUUAACCAGAUACCUACUAACCAGAGCUCAUUCUAGAAUAAUUUAUCUUUAUUACCUGAACUAACAAUACACACACUGCAGUGUGGUAAAGGACAGUGAGACUAAUAAGGAACUCAUAGUAUUUGCAUUACUUACCCUGGGCCUUGUGGAACAACCUGAAGUGUUAGCACUAGCCUUCAUCUUCACCGUCACCUUCCUCCUAGUCACUAGUGACACUCAUCCUAGUGUCUCCAUCUACCAAGGGAUGCAGGCAUGAUAAAGCUUCUAUAAUGUGUUAUUCUGAUGCCUACUAGGGUACAUACAGUGAUAUUGUGAAGGUUAAGUCAUUUUGGCAAAAUUAUCUGGGGAUCCUCAGACAGAAGGUGCUAUGUAAAUGCAAAGUAUUAUUAUAUUUAUUAUUCAGAUCUUGUUCUUGAUUUGACGGAAAGUGUUGACUCUGGCUAUAUUUGUCUGGAAGAAUUAUUGUGAAGCUGCUAGCCAGGCUUCUGUUUUAUUAAAUGAUACUAUUUUUUUAAAAUUGAAAUUACUUGCAUAUGAUAUGGCAGGAAAACAUCUGAAGUUCCCCUCAAACUAUUUGUUUUCUCAUCCUCUUGUAGUUGCUGUUUCCCUUGAUUAAAUCCUAAAUUACAUUGAUUUUUGGAUUGUACAAAACUUUUCCUCAGAGUCCUUCAUAGUUCUUAACUUGCCUCUUAUCCCUCUUACCCUUUUCCAGCCACAGUAUGCUAAUCUAAUAAAAUCUUAUCUGCUGUAUCACUGUAUUUAUUUUCAUUGUAUGUCUGUCUUCCAUGGCUCAGUCUUGUGUUUAUUCAAGAACUGUGUUUUUGUUAUCUAACUUCAGAACUUUAGGCUAAAUUCUGUGUUCAAAUGGUAACAAUGUUGUUGAUGUUUUUCUUACUUGUCAGUUUCACUUUGCUCAGUUUUGUGUCCAAUUGUAUUACAUGUUCUCUAGGAGCAGACCGGGGCAAACUACAGCCCACGGGCCACAUCCGGCCCACAGGACCCUUCCCUUUGGCCUCUGAGCUCCUGCCAGGGAGUGGGGUCAGGACAGGCUUGCAGAGGAGCCAGCCCACCUCCCUGGCAGCACAAUGAGCGGGGUGGAGGCUAGCCCUUGGGCCCCCCCCUUCUGCUCCUCUCCCUCCCUCACAGUCACAGCUCCCCCCUGCCCCAGUGCCUGGGCAGCGUGGCUGCAGCUCCAGCUGGGCCGCACAGCAAUUGCGCUGCCAGACCUGGUGCUCCAGGGCAGCAUAGUCAGGGGGCGGGGAGCAGGGGGAGUUCCGGGGAGGCUGCAGGGGGGCAGUCAAAGAGCCUGGACCCUGCUGCCUGGGACAGGGGCAGAGCAAGCCAGGGCCCCCCUCCAUCCCCAGCAUGCUUGGCUCCCGUCCCCAGCAGCCCAGCCCAGGCAGGGAGCGAGCCCUGCCUGACUACCAGGGAGAGCAGCCAAAGGAGCAGGGGAAACACACAGGGAAAGGACUGAGCCGCCCUUUCCCCCACCCCACAUGUAACAUGGGGCAGGGAGGGUUGGAUAGGGGGCAGGGGUCCCGGGGUGUUCAGGAGCUGAGAAGCAUGGGGGAUUGGAUAGGGGAUGAGUGUCCGUGGGGAUGGUCAGGGGGCAGAGAGCAGGGGUGUUUUGGAUAA
Chelonoidis abingdonii (Abingdon island giant tortoise) is the source of this 2335-nucleotide non-coding RNA. The record is from RefSeq and is a predicted model, not a curated record. Lineage: Eukaryota; Metazoa; Chordata; Testudines; Testudinidae.